Non-coding RNA from Doryrhamphus excisus (bluestripe pipefish), 758 nucleotides. NCBI's taxonomy places the organism in Eukaryota, Metazoa, Chordata, Actinopteri, Syngnathiformes, Syngnathidae. The record is from RefSeq and is a predicted model, not a curated record.
UUGGCUGGGGUGGUUGGUUCUAUUCCUGGUAGUUGUGUGCUAUAGAAAUUGUGUGCUAUAGCUCCAGGAUUCCUAGAUUUAUGACCCGGUGCUUUAAUGCAACGGGUCGCUCCUAAGUGUCCAUUCUCUUUUGCUGCUCUCAGCGCAGCUCCCAUUUACGACACUAGCUGGGCACAUGAAUGCACCAGGGCAGCAGCGCGGGAUUCAGAGUUGUCGUAACUUUUGAUGUCCAAAUAACAGUAUGGCUUAUAAACGGUCACGUGGGUAUGCUGGAGCCUAUCCCAGCUGACGUCAGAGUAUUAAAUAAACCAGUGUUAAACAGACCUGAGCAGGACGCCCUGAAGCAUUUUCCACCGCAUGUGUUUGGGGUGUCAGCGUGUGUUUGGGCGUCACUCCCUACCUAUGUUGGUGUCCUGGCCAAAGAUGAGCGAGGACAUGAGGUUCCCCCACACGGCCGAGGACUGGAAGAUGAAGAAGAAGAUGCCAAAGUACUGGUUGAUGACGUCCGAGCCCUUCUUGCCCUCCUUGGCUGCCUGCACGUUGCCGGAGAUGGUCAGGCUCUGCAGACCUCCAUACGCUGUGAAGAGCGACAGGAAGCCGAGAGAAACCACAAACACGUUCUUGAAGUUGCGGCUGAUCAUGGCUGCCGGACUGAAGGGAAAAAGAGAAGACCAGGAAAGGUUGUCUCAUCAGAGGAGCCUCCCUGCCGCCGAGUCAAGGCUCUUGUGUGAUGAAACACGCUACAAACGUACUUUACA